AAGCUCGUAGUUGAAUUUCGGGGUUAGUAGGUUGGUCAUGCCUCUGGUAUGUACUGGUCUCACUGAUUCCUCCUUCCUGAUGAACCGUAAUGCCAUUAAUUUGGUGUUGCGGGGAAUUUGGACUGUUACUUUGAAAAAAUUAGAGUGUUUAAAGCAAGCUAACGCUUGAAUACAUUAGCAUGGAAUAAUGAAAUAGGACGUUCGAUCCUAUUUUGUUGGUUUCUAGGAUUGACGUAAUGAUUAAUAGGGAUAGUUGGGGGCAUUAGUAUUCAAUUGUCAGAGGUGAAAUUCUUGGAUUUAUUGAAGACUAACUACUGCGAAAGCAUUUGCCAAGGAUGUUUUCAUUAAUCAAGAACGAAAGUUAGGGGAUCGAAGACGAUCAGAUACCGUCGUAGUCUUAACCAUAAACUAUGCCGACUAGGGAUCGGACGAUGUUAAUUUUUUAAUGACUCAUUCGGCGCCUUACGGGGAACCAAAGUGUUUGGGUUCCGGGGGGAGUAUGGUCGCAAGGCUGAAACUUAAAGGAAUUGACGGAAGGGCACCACCAGGGGUGGAGCCUGCGGCUUAAUUUGACUCAACACGGGGAAACUCACCAGGUCCAGACAUAGCAAGGAUUGACAGACUGAGAGCUCUUUCUUGAUUCUAUGGGUG
RNAcentral lists this ribosomal RNA (651 nucleotides) under uncultured Rhizophagus. RNAcentral's name for it is "SSU rRNA". It matches the Rfam family "Eukaryotic small subunit ribosomal RNA", at positions 624 to 1276 of the family's 1831-position model. The record is from RNAcentral. Lineage: Eukaryota; Fungi; Glomeromycota; Glomeromycetes; Glomerales; Glomeraceae.